UCAAGUGAAAUUUUUAUUUAUUUUUUUAUCUGAUUAAAUAAAAUUAAAGUCAAUAGAAAUCUGCAAAGUAGAAUCAGUGUUAGUGCAUUAUUCUUCAUUACCCUGGGGCAGAAUGCACAUCAUAGAAAGGAUCAACAAUAUCUCCGCUCAAAUGAAAGAAGGAUCCUUCAUCAUUAUCCUGGAGCAAAAUGCUCAUCGUGCAAAGGAUCAACAAAGACUCCAAUCAUCAUUGCAAUUGUGCGCGUGGCAAUGGAUGAAGUGUUGUAUCGUUUAGAUAAAAUCAAAAUCGCGAAUUAGAAGCAUUGUUUGUUCGUUAUAAUUCAUCCAAUCUCGCGAUUUUAAAAACUGUCUAAGUGUUAAAGUUUGUUCGUCUAAAGUUGUAAUUUUAUUUUAAAACAGUCGCACAGAUUGUUCGGGCAUUAAAAUCAGUGCAUCAUCGAAGAUAAAUGAUAAAUGACACUUCUUCAAAAGAAAAAUAUUGAUCAUAGUUAUAAUCCUGUCUUAUCAAUCUACAAGAAGGUUGACCUACUAUGGAUCAACCUGGCUCGUUUUCAACUUCAUGUGGAUCAACUUCCCUCAAUUUCCAGCUACAAGGUGAACGAGUGUUUUGGAGCCAUCAUAGAACUUCUUAAGUAGUGAGUGAACAAAUUUAAGGUCCCUCCAAUGCUCAAUCAUGUCGAGGAUGAAAGGUCCGAAUCGGCACGAGUUAUUGGUUGUAAUUUUUUGUAAUAUAUUAUUGACGAGUAUGACCGUGAGUAAUUCCUCUUUUGGAUUUACUCGCGAGUGGUUCAUUUUUAAUUAUGUGUAUGUUUCAUUAUUAUUUCUCUAUUGUGCAUGUUUAUUUUUAUUAGCACAGGAUAGGGUUUUCUUGUUUCAUCGCGAGUCGUUUUUUAAUUAACAGUGCAAUUAAUUAGCACUUGUUUCGUUCGACAUUGCACGCGAUAUUAGUUGUGAAAUCAGGCAUUCAUUUAUCCAAUUUUGUCGAAAAAGCAUGUGAUGUGGUUUACGUUACAUGCAUUGCUUCAUAUUUAGUCCAUUCAAUCGCGAUUUACUACGAUGUAUUUAGAUCGAAUCAAAUGAACAAGAAAACAAACGCGACGGAUAGAUUCUUGGAAACAAGUGAUAGAGUCAUGAUUUUGUUCUAUGAUUAGAAUAGCCACUUGUUGAAAGGAGUCGUCCGAGGAUUUUUAAUUAUUAUUGUAUAAAAUAUUAAUCAAAUAUUCAAUGAAUUUUUUUUUAUAAAAGAAAAGUCUCAGUAGAGUCAUCAUUAUUUUGAAAAGAAAAAAGUCGAGUAGAGUCAUUGCUAAAAAAAAUAAAGAGACUUGUAGAGUCAUAGCCCGUAAAAAGUAAAUGAUAAAUUAAUCAAUU
Vespa velutina is the source of this 1368-nucleotide long non-coding RNA. RefSeq lists it as uncharacterized. The transcript is spliced from 4 exons. Lineage: Eukaryota; Metazoa; Arthropoda; Insecta; Hymenoptera; Vespidae. The record is from RefSeq and is a predicted model, not a curated record.